UUAGGAAUCUUCCACAAUGGGCGAAAGCCUGAUGGAGCGACGCCGCGUGAGGGAUGAAGGCCUUAGGGUUGUAAACCUCUAAAAGAGGGACGAUAAUGACGGUACCUCUUGAAUAGCACCGGCUAACUCCGUGCCAGCAGCUGCGGUAAUACGGAGGGUGCAAGCGUUAUCCGGAAUCACUGGGCGUAAAGGGCGCGUAGGCGGUCUGUUAAGUCCGAUGUUAAAUCCCGGGGCUCAACCCCGGAUAAGCGUUGGAUACUGGCAGGCUAGACGGUUGGAGAGGCGAGUGGAAUUACCAAGGUAGCGGUUGAAUGCGUAGAUACUGGUAGGAACACCCAUUGCGAAGGCAGCUCGCUGGACAACACGUGACGCUGAGGCGCGAAAGUGUUGGGAGCAAACC
Molecule: ribosomal RNA, 400 nt
Filed under: uncultured bacterium
Lineage: Bacteria
Description: bacterial SSU rRNA
Rfam family: Bacterial small subunit ribosomal RNA
Source: RNAcentral